Raphanus sativus (radish) is the source of this 2459-nucleotide long non-coding RNA. RefSeq lists it as uncharacterized. The transcript is spliced from 6 exons. NCBI's taxonomy places the organism in Eukaryota, Viridiplantae, Streptophyta, Magnoliopsida, Brassicales, Brassicaceae. The record is from RefSeq and is a predicted model, not a curated record.
AUACUUUGACAAAAAAUUCACAAGGGCCAACUAUUCCCUCGUUAGGAUAUCUUUCAUUACUUAAGGUUUAAAAAAAAUCAGUGUCACUAAAGAGACUUGAAAAAAAAAGAGUCAUCGAGUGAACUCACUCUCGAAACCUAAAACACAACCGUGAUUCUCUUUUUCCAUUCUAGUUUCCUCUUUAAUUUUCUGCGACAAGUGAGUCACCACAUAACAACGAGAUUGACAAGAGGAGAAUGACCGGAGUUGUGAACGGAUCUAAUUUCAGUUGGGUCGGAUCGAGGAAGAAUCCUGACGACUCUCCACCAUUCGCGAGAAGCGAACCCACGGCAAAGCUUCUCUUCCUCGGUAGUGGAGACGGAGAAGACAGAGAAAGAGGACGACGGCGGUUACAACGACGACGCGAUUUAGCUCCGCCGAGAUGAAACCGACCCAGUUCUAGCUCUGUCUUUACCUCUCCUUUGUUCUCUACUAGGGUAGUGAAGUCUGAGAUCACAGUUUUGACUAAAAUGUGUGAUGAUAUGAGAGCUAAAGUCUCUGACUUACCUGUUAAAGCCUCAUGUUGGAGAAGAAAUUGAGUUAAACAAGGUGGAGGAGGCUGAAGAAGCUUGAUGGUGGUGGUCUCGCCACUGAUGCCUUAUCACAAGAAGCAUGGCUUGAGACGAGAAGACAAAGGGUUGGUGAUUUAAUAUUUAAGUGAUUUGUGUAAGACUUGAAAAAAGAUUUUAUGUAAAAACAUAUGUUUUAUAAAUUUACUGAAUAUAAUUUUGAGCUCAGUUCAUGGAAUUGGAUCAAACCAAGGUUAAAAGUGUUGAACUUUUGUUCAAGGCAAGUGUGAAAUGAAGAAGUAAACAAAAUGUUAAAACCAAAUAUAAUUUUGUAAAUUAAUAUUGGAACCGGUUUGUUAAAAUAUUAACACAUUCAGAUUUGUUAAAAUACUUUUUGUUUAUUUGUAUUUUUUUAUUCAAAAAAACCCUAAACAUUUUUUUAAACCCUAAACAUUUUUUUAAACCCUAAACAUAUGCUUUAGACUUCAAUAUUUUCAUAAUAUAAUUUCAGUAUUAAACUUAAACUAAAAAAUUCAUUAUUUCAAAAAAAUAUUAUAUCAAAUUGAAAAUCUAAAUAUUAAAAAUUAAAUCUUAAAUCUGCAUCUUAAUCCUAAUACGCUUAACCCUAAACUUAAACCGACAUAUAAAAUCAUGAAUAUAAGAUUUUCAAAUUUAUAAUAUUAAUUUUAAAUUUAAAUCCAAGUUUAUCCAAUACUUAAUCAUAUACUUCAUUCUAAAUCUUAACCCUAAACCAUAAACCAAAUACCUCAUACUAACAUAUAUCAUAAUACACUAAACUUAAUUUUACAUAAAUUAUAUUCCUUUUUUUUGUCAAAACAUAAAUUGUAUUUCUAUAAGAAAAAUAUACUACUCCGAACUAAUAAAUUUAAAAUUAUACAUUUACAAAAUAAAAUUAAGCCACCAAAUAAUAACCCAAGAAAUACAAUCUAGUCUUUUUAAUCAAACCCUAAACCCUAUAUAUAUCAUACUCCAACCAAAUACCUGAACAAUUAUAAUAUUAAUUAAUAGAUUUUUGAAAUUUAAGUGUAGAAUAUUGGUUAUAAAAUCUCAAUUUUAUUCAAACAUCAAUUUUUAAAAUUAUAAACUAAAAGUCAUCAAAAUAUUGAAAGUAGAACACCAAAAGAUAAAAAUAAAAAGGAAAAAAUGGGUAACUAAUAUAAUAAGAAAGAAAAUUACUGGCCAAUCCGCUCUCAUCACACGGAUCACCCUCUGAGCCGUAAUACAAAUAAAUCAGCGGAUGAGAUUGUUUUAUUUUUUAUUUCCUUUUCUUUUCUUUAUUCUCUCUCUCUCUCUCGCCUCUAUCUCCUUCUUAUUUUCACAGAUCUCUUUUUUUCAGAUCUCUUCAUCUUCUUCUACAAUCUCUUUUAAUUUGACAGACCUCUUUUAGUUUUUCAUCUCACAGACAUCUAUCUGUCUCACUCUCCUAAUCUCUCUAUCUCACACACGACACAUCUCCAACCAUCUUCUUUAGAAAGGCGGAUGAGGCAUCAAAGCGACGGUGGAGGCGCGGCAGACUCGUCACUUGUCAAAGCACUGCGUUGGCUUCACCUCCUCUCCACCACCACAGAUUUAUUAAGGAGCAGGGAAAGAGAGGCAUUGGUGUGAGGCACGGCAGACUCGUCUCCGGUCAAGCGUGGUGCAGCGGUGGUGCAAGCCGGUGGUGGUCGUGCGGUGGCGUUGCGAGCAGCAUGGUCGUGAGUGGAGAUGCGAGCAGCGGCGGGGACUGAAGAAGUUAAUUAGGUUUAGUUAGGGUUAAUUAUGUUUAGAUUUUUUUUGGUGAACGGUUUAGAUUUAGAUUUCUAAACCGGAUUUGUCUGAAACCGGGUUUAAUUAUUAAACCAGCAUUUGUAAACAAGUUUUUAAAUAAUAUAUUUAAUAUUUUAAAACCAA